RNAcentral lists this ribosomal RNA (468 nucleotides) under uncultured bacterium. RNAcentral's name for it is "partial 16S ribosomal RNA". It matches the Rfam family "Bacterial small subunit ribosomal RNA", at positions 28 to 507 of the family's 1533-position model. The record is from RNAcentral.
GACGAACGCUGGCGGCGUGCUUAACACAUGCAAGUCGAACGGAAAGGCCCUGCUUUUGUGGGGUGCUCGAGUGGCGAACGGGUGAGUAACACGUGAGUAACCUGCCCUUGACUUUGGGAUAACUUCAGGAAACUGGGGCUAAUACCGGAUAGGAGCUCCUGCUGCAUGGUGGGGGUUGGAAAGUUUCGGCGGUUGGGGAUGGACUCGCGGCUUAUCAGCUUGUUGGUGGGGUAGUGGCUUACCAAGGCUUUGACGGGUAGCCGGCCUGAGAGGGUGACCGGCCACAAUGGGGAUGGAGUACGGCCCAGGCUCCUACGGGGGGCAAGAGGGGGGAAUAAUGCACCAUGGGCGGAAGCCUGAAGCAGCAACGCCGCGUGCGGGAUGACGGCCUUCGGGUUGUAAACCGCUUUCGCCUGUGACGGAGGGUGAGUGACGGUAAUGGGUAAAGAAGCACCGGCUAACUACGUG